Molecule: ribosomal RNA, 492 nt
Filed under: uncultured bacterium
Lineage: Bacteria
Description: partial 16S ribosomal RNA
Rfam family: Bacterial small subunit ribosomal RNA
Source: RNAcentral
AGUGAACGCUGGCGGUAGGCCUAACACAUGCAAGUCGAACGGCAGCACAGUAAGAUCUUGCUCUUACGGGUGGCGAGUGGCGGGCGGGUGAGGAAUACAUCGGAAUCUACUUUUUCGUGGGGGAUAACGUAGGGAAACUUACGCUAAUACCGCAUACGACCUACGGGUGAAAGCAGUGGAUCUUCGGACCUUGCGCGAUUGAAUGAGCCGAUGUCGGAUUAGCUAGUUGGCGGGGUAAAGGCCCACCAAGGCGACGAUCCGUAGCUGGUCUGAGAGGAUGAUCAGCCACACUGGAACUGAGACACGGUCCAGACUCCUACGGGAGGCAGCAGUGGGGAAUAUUGGACAAUGGGCGCAAGCCUGAUCCAGCCAUACCGCGUGGGUGAAGAAGGCCUUCGGGUUGUAAAGCCCUUUUGUUGGGAAAGAAAAGCAGCAGGUUAAUACCCCGCUGUUCUGACGGUACCCAAAGAAUAAGCACCGGCUAACUUCGUG